RNAcentral lists this ribosomal RNA (512 nucleotides) under uncultured bacterium. RNAcentral's name for it is "bacterial SSU rRNA". It matches the Rfam family "Bacterial small subunit ribosomal RNA", at positions 335 to 862 of the family's 1533-position model. The record is from RNAcentral.
CACCUACGGGUGGCAGCAGUUGGGAAUCUUGCACAAUGGGGGAAACCCUGAUGCAGCGACGCCGCGUGGAGGAAGAAGGGUCUAGGCUCGUAAACUCCUUUUUCAGGGAAAGACUUAGGACGGUACCCUGAGAAUAAGCUCCGGCUAACUACGUGCCAGCAGCCGCGGUAAGACGUAGGGAGCGAGCGUUGUCCGGAUUUACUGGGCGUAAAGAGCACGUAGGCGGUCUGUUAAGUGAGAAGUGAAAUCUCCAGCGCUCAACGCGGAAACGGCUUUUCAUACUGGCAGACUUGAGGGAUGCAGAGGCAAGUAGAAUUCCUGGUGUACCGGUGACAUGGGUUGAUAUCAGGAGGAAUACCAAUGGCGAAGGCAGCUUGCUGGGCAUCAUCUGACGCUGAGGUGCGAAAGCGUGGGUAGCAAACAGGAUUAGAUACCCUGGUAGUCCACGCCCUAAACGAUGGAUACUAGGCGUAUGGGGUAUCGACCCCCCAUGUGCCGUAGCUAACGCAUUA